RNAcentral lists this ribosomal RNA (253 nucleotides) under uncultured bacterium. RNAcentral's name for it is "partial 16S ribosomal RNA". It matches the Rfam family "Bacterial small subunit ribosomal RNA", at positions 524 to 776 of the family's 1533-position model. The record is from RNAcentral.
UACGUAGGGAGCAAGCGUUGUUCGGAUUUACUGGGCGUAAAGGGCGCGUAGGCGGCCGAUCAAGUCAGCUGUGAAAUCUCCGAGCUUAACUCGGAACUGUCAGCUGAUACUGUUUUGCUAGAGUGCGGAAGGGGCAAUCGGAAUUCUUGGUGUAGCGGUGAAAUGCGUAGAUAUCAAGUGGAACACCAGUGGCGAAGGCGAGUCCCUGGAAAACUCCUGACACUGAGGCACGAAAGCUAGGGGAGCAAACGGG